RNAcentral lists this long non-coding RNA (614 nucleotides) under Nicotiana benthamiana. RNAcentral describes it as "long non-coding RNA (NBEN_LNC022437)". The record is from RNAcentral. Lineage: Eukaryota; Viridiplantae; Streptophyta; Magnoliopsida; Solanales; Solanaceae.
UUUUUGAGCCAAAAGCCCCAGAUCUGAAACUCUAGCAGUGACGCCAGUGACUUCUGUCCGGCGACCCCUCACCCCCCUCCAUUCCCAAAUUUUUUGAGGUGUUGUUGGUUUUAAAAAAAAUCAUUUUUUUCACUUCUUAUGCUGUUUAUAAGGAGACCCUUUUAUUAAAGUUUCUAACUUCACUCAUUCUUGAGGGUGUCCUUUGCUAUUGAGGAGACCAAUUUUUCUCUGAAUUGAAGCAAUAUUUAUUAGUAGUAGAAUUUGGGAAUCCUGAAACUGAAGAGAAUUGAUUGGCUAAACAGUAAAAAGUGGGUUUCCUUACUUUCAAUUUUUGUUUUUGAGUUUGUUUGGCUGAAAGUGGCGCAGUGAUUUACUGAGCUUUUGAUGGAUCUAGGGUUUUGUUAGACUUGAGCUUUUAAAAUUUCUGUAUAGCUAGCAUCACUUUUCUGCUUUUCUUUUCUUCCUAUUCCCUUCUGCUUUUUGUGGGUGUGUGUGGGUGUGUCCUGUUUUCUUGGACAGGUGCCUUAUUUUUCCGGCGGGGAUUUCCGGCAAGCUACAGUAAUCCCGGCGAGUCCUGUUCAGAUUUUCGGCAGGACGCAGCAGAACUACCUGUU